This 149-nucleotide small RNA is filed under the name Marmota monax (woodchuck). Lineage: Eukaryota; Metazoa; Chordata; Mammalia; Rodentia; Sciuridae. The record is from RNAcentral.
UGUAACUGCUAUGGGUGAUGAAUAAUAAGUUGACCUUGAUAAUAUCCUUAGUUUGAAAUUCACAAAUGUGUUUCUUUUCUUCUCGUCACUGUGUGUGUGUGUGUGUGUGUGUGUGUGUGUGAAAAUCAUUGACUCUCCAGCACAUAUAA